Non-coding RNA from Paramuricea clavata, 445 nucleotides. Lineage: Eukaryota; Metazoa; Cnidaria; Anthozoa; Malacalcyonacea; Plexauridae. The record is from the annotation of a GenBank genome assembly.
ACAUUAAAUAUUCAAAGGAAACUUGCCGUAUAUUUCACGAUUGCCAAUAGUAAAUCAAUUCUUCUCAUUUCUUCAAACAAAAUUACUUCAAGCUUGUUGCAUAUGAAACGAUUUCCCAAAUAUAUGUCUUUUGAAAUUGAAAUCUUGCUCAUCCCACUCCUACAAGCAAUCAGCCAUAUUUUUGAGAUCAGUGAGGAUGACCACCCACUCACCAUCGUUGGUGACCGACGCCCACGAUAUUUGAUAAACUUUAGACUUCACUAAUGCUUUCGUUUCCCCGGGUGUAAAUAGCCGGGGGGGAUUAGUACCCUCACACGACGCUUUGCGCCGUCGGCUCGGGGACAAAAGCUUGAAGCAAUUUUGUUUGAAGAAAUGAGAAGAAUCGAUUACUAUGGGAAAUCGUGAAAUAUACGGCAAGUUUCCUUUGAAUAUCUAUUUAAUGUUU